RNAcentral lists this non-coding RNA (84 nucleotides) under bovine gut metagenome. RNAcentral's name for it is "Glycine riboswitch". It matches the Rfam family "Glycine riboswitch aptamer", at positions 8 to 87 of the family's 94-position model. Rfam says of the family: This family represents the bacterial glycine riboswitch. Glycine riboswitches usually consist of two metabolite-binding aptamers domains with similar structures in tandem. The aptamers cooperatively bind glycine to regulate the expression of downstream genes. RNAcentral also lists the same sequence under 1 other name. The record is from RNAcentral.
GGUCCGGGAGAGGCCCGCGGACACGCGGGAACCGAAGGGGCAACAGCCGUUGGCUGCAAACUCUCAGGUAAAAGUACCGGGCGC